Long non-coding RNA from Perognathus longimembris pacificus (Pacific pocket mouse), 1509 nucleotides. RefSeq lists it as uncharacterized. The transcript has 2 exons. NCBI's taxonomy places the organism in Eukaryota, Metazoa, Chordata, Mammalia, Rodentia, Heteromyidae. The record is from RefSeq and is a predicted model, not a curated record.
GCUAGAAGUGGAGGUGUGGCUCAAGUGGUAGAGUAUACGCCUCAAGAGAAAAGGCUAAGAGAGUAUACAAAGCGCAGAGUUCAAGCCUCAAUUCUUGCCUCUCUUCCCUUAAAAAAAAAAAAAAGAAGGAAGAAUUACUACUCAGAAACUAAAAAUAAUUCAUCUUGGUACAGGAAGAGAGAGUGAUGAUGGCGGAUUAGAUUUCCCAAGGAUUAUAGUUUAAGGCAGGGGUUCCAUCUUCUAAAUAUGGUUACAUCUGUAUUGUGAACUGUGGAUCAGAGGAGAAUAAGGAGUCAUGCAAAGACAGCAGUUGGAAAGUAGUCCUCUAAGACUGGAAAGGAUGAUGGUAGCCUAUUUUGAAAGAAUGGAAACAAUGUUUGGCCAGGCAGAACAAAUAAGAGGUUUUUGUUGUUACCCUGUUUUCUUGAGGUAGGGUCUCUCUAGGUAGCCUAAGCCUACAUCAGACUUGCUAUAUAGCCCAGGCUGAUCUUGAAUAUGAAAAGCUCCUGUCUUAGAUUCUGAGUACUAAGAUUAGAGCCAUGUGCUAACAUGCUCAGGUCUGUUUUUUCCUAAUGCUAUUACUGGUAUGGAAAAAUGUUUAAAGUACCUUAAUCAGGAAAAUCAAGAUUUUUUUUCUGAUACAUAUAUAUAUAUAUACUUUGAUAUUAUUUUUAAGAAAAAAUGAAUGUAACAUACAUGCUUGGGCGCACUGAGUUGAGUUUGGAGGGAUAAAUAACACAUUUUAAAUAGUGAGUCUCCCUACGGAAAUCACCCGAGGGGCUAGAGCAGAGGCAAGACAACUUAUUUUGCUGUCUAAUCAAAAUUAUCUUUCAAAGAUGUGUUAAGGAAAAGCAUAUCCACAAGACAAGGUUUACUGGCUGUUGAUUCUGCUUCAGGCAACUUUACCUGUAGGUUGCUAAUAUUUGAUUGAACACACUGAUAGAAGGGCAGAUUUGUUGAGGAAGAAGAGCUGCUUAGUGUAGACUUGAGGUAACUAUAAACAGUCCAAGUAGAGUGCGCUAAUAAAUGGACAUCCAAGCUGUCCAGGGGAUAGAUCUCAAACCAAAGAUAGGAACUUGCCAAUCACAAGCUGCUGUGUAGUAACCCUGGGAGGCAGCAGGUGAGACUGCCCAAAUGGGAGGGAGGGAGGAAAGAGUUGGAAGACACCCUCCUGGGUUUGCCCCUAGUGUUUAACAGUGUGUCUUCCUUAUCAACAUAUAUAACUACAACAUCAAAUCUUAUUUUUCACUGCAUAGCUCCUCUAGUUAUAAUGUGGAUUAUUUACAUAGAGGUGAAGAAUUUGUCAGGAAUAAAAGAGAGAUCAUUCUCUAGCAUAUGUGAGAUUUAAUUAGUUUUCAAAUGAUGAGGGGGGGAUGGGCAGAGUGUCCUGCUGAAUGGUUUGGGAUGCCUUACUUAACAGAUUUAUGUUGGAAUUGAACUUUGCAACUUAGGGUGGGGGCCCAUGAGGUGGGAUUUGUAAAAAAAAUGAGGGAAGGAUAACACUGUUCA